UACGUAGGGUGCGAGCGUUAAUCGGAAUUACUGGGCGUAAAGCGUGCGCAGGCGGUCCGCAAAGUCUGAUGUGAAAGCCCCGGGCUCAACCUGGGAACUGCAUUGGAAACUAACGGGCUCGAGUGUGGCAGAGGGGGGUGGAAUUCCACGUGUAGCAGUGAAAUGCGUAGAGAUGUGGAGGAACACCGAUGGCGAAGGCAGCCCCCUGGGCUAACACUGACGCUCAGGCACGAAAGCGUGGGGAGCAAACAGGAUUAGAUACCCUGGUAGUCCACGCCCUAAACGAUGUCAACUGGGUGUUGGGGGAGCGAUUCCUCAGUACCGUAGCUAACGCGUGAAGUUGACCGCCUGGGGAGUACGGCCGCAAGGUUAAA
This 374-nucleotide ribosomal RNA is filed under the name uncultured bacterium. RNAcentral describes it as "bacterial SSU rRNA". It matches the Rfam family "Bacterial small subunit ribosomal RNA", at positions 524 to 898 of the family's 1533-position model. The record is from RNAcentral.